RNAcentral lists this ribosomal RNA (254 nucleotides) under uncultured bacterium. RNAcentral describes it as "partial 16S ribosomal RNA". It matches the Rfam family "Bacterial small subunit ribosomal RNA", at positions 524 to 776 of the family's 1533-position model. The record is from RNAcentral.
UACGGGGGGGGCAAGCGUUGUUCGGAUUUACUGGGCGUAAAGGGCGCGUAGGCGGCCACCGCAAGUCGGUUGUGAAAUCUCUGGGCUUAACCCAGAAAGGUCAACCGAUACUGCGGGGCUAGAGUGCAGAAGGGGCAACUGGAAUUCUCGGUGUAGCGGUGAAAUGCGUAGAUAUCGAGAGGAACACCUGCGGCGAAGGCGGGUUGCUGGGCUGACACUGACGCUGAAGCGCGAAAGCUAGGGGAGCGAACGGG